AAGGAGUCGAACAUUUGUGCGAGUGCUUGGGUGUUAAACCUUCAUGCGCAAUGAAAGUGAACGGAGGUGAGAGCCCUUACGGGUGCGUCAUCGACCGUUCCUGAUGUCUUCGGAUGGGUUUGAGUAGGAGCAUAAGUGUUCGGACCCGAAAGAUGGUGAACUAUGCGUGGAUAGGGUGAAGCCAGGGGAAACUCUGAUGGAGGCUCGCAGCGAUACUGACGUGCAAAUCGAUCGUCGAAUCUGCGCAUGGGGGCGAAAGACUAAUCAAACCAUCUAGUAGCUGGUUACCUC
RNAcentral lists this unclassified non-coding RNA (291 nucleotides) under uncultured fungus. RNAcentral describes it as "partial contains 5.8S rRNA, ITS2 and 28S rRNA". It matches the Rfam family "Eukaryotic large subunit ribosomal RNA", at positions 668 to 961 of the family's 3401-position model. Lineage: Eukaryota; Fungi. The record is from RNAcentral.